Molecule: non-coding RNA, 46 nt
Organism: Ailuropoda melanoleuca (giant panda)
Lineage: Eukaryota; Metazoa; Chordata; Mammalia; Carnivora; Ursidae
Source: Rfam
CCAAAGGCCCUUUUUAGGGCCCCCACUUUUCCAUCUGAGGAGCCGU